Molecule: long non-coding RNA, 27353 nt
Filed under: Ananas comosus (pineapple)
Lineage: Eukaryota; Viridiplantae; Streptophyta; Magnoliopsida; Poales; Bromeliaceae
Description: long non-coding RNA (ACOM_LNC015005)
Source: RNAcentral
GGUCCCGGGGCGUGACAACAGGGUUACAUGUUAAAGUACUACGGGUUCAUGAUACUAGUAGCUUGCAUAUGAAAUUUGAGCUUGAUGUUAUCCAAGAGGAUAUAAUGAUAAAUUCGUGAAUGGACUCAUUAGUUCUGUUGAACAACAAAGAGAUUGAUGUAUUUAUGAUUGAGCUAUGCAACGUUAUAUAGCAAGUAUAAUUGCUAUACUCUGAAAGAUCAGGUAAAGGCUUUUGUUUGCAUAUGCAUUUCUAAUUGUAGAAUGAAUGGCAUAGAGAUCAUGUGAAGAGUAUUUUAUCGCUUGCUUUACUUGCUUGCAUUACCCUGUUAGUUUCUACUUUCACAUGAUAGACUUAUAUUAUGGUAUAUGUUCUAGUAAGUAACUAGAAUUUCAUAUGAUGGUAUAACUUGAAUGAUUAUUCAACUGAAUAUAAUCUAGUAAAUAACUAGAUUUGGAUAUGAUAACAUACUUGUAUAGUCAAGUAGAGAUUUAUAUUGGACUACAGGAUAUGUGCCAUGAGUCUUUGAACAGAACAUUAGUAAACCACUUUCCUUAUGUGUGAGGAGUAGUGAGAGAUUGUGAAUGACUGAUCAGGUAUAGCCUGAUAAAAUCACUAGUGUGAUGUAAAGCCUUAACUUGUCAAGUUAUACUAGUUAUUGGUAGAAUCAUAUCAACAAGUUGUUGAUAGUGACUUAUGAUUGGGUACUACAGUGCCGACCUUGGGUCGAGUUGAGAUAUUUGUACCCUGGACUAUAGCUUGCAUGCCAUUACGCUCUUUCGUACAUGCUUGCGGGGGUUGCGCCCCCCAAGCCCCGCGUUCCGGAGUGGCUUGAGUUGAGAUACCAUGUCAGGGACAUGAUGCUAUUGUGAGAUUGGUACAAUGGACUACGGCUAGCAUGCCAUUGUGCGCGUUCGCACACGCUUGCGGGGUCGCUCCCCCCCAAGCCAGCACUCCCGAACAGCUUAGCGACAGAUACUCGCAAAUGUACGAAGUAAGCGCCGAAGUGGAAUGCCGUGGGGAGUGUACACUACCACGGGGCCAUUAGGCACGGCGCGGCUUGAACUUACCUUGUGUAAGUCUGUUGGAAAUUGGGUUAUGUCAAGUACUUUAACUUUAGCUGGACAUAGUAGUAAAGUUACUUUAUGUCUUUGGUUAAGUGAACUUAUUGAUGAACAUACUAGAAAGUUGACAUCUAAAGUGAGCUUAGUGAUGAAUAACUUAGAAGUUCACAUCAUGAUUGGUUAGCAACAUAAUGAAUGACAUUAUGUUUCUUUCUUGCUAAUGAAAAAGGUAAUUACAGGAUAUCAUCUGUAAUUUCAGUAAAGUGAAUUAUCUUGCAUACCAUCUGGUAUAUGUUUGGUUAAAUUGUCAAGUAAUAUGAUUGAUAAAAUCCAUCAUGAUAACUGAUACCUGCAAUCUAUUGAUGUUUAUUUAUUGUUGAGCAAAUAGCAUGAGUAGUUACUUUCAUAUCUGUUGCAUGUAAUUGCUUAUUGCAUUAUCUGCAUUUACUUACUUAUUUAUUGCUAUCUACUCAUGCCACAGUUGACCGAGUGGUGUACUUCGCCACUCUUGGCGGCUUACCCACUGGGAAUUAUUGUUUAAUAGUUCUCACGCCCUUUUUGUUGUUGUUUUUACAGAGCCUUCCACCGCGGGAAAGGCUAGGGUUCUUGGCGAGGAGUCUGCGGCUAGCUAGAGCCCUUUUGGACGUGUACUAGACGACCUCCUUCAGUUUAUGUAGUCUAGUACAGAGAUGUAUAUUAAACUAUUGUAGAUUGUACUUUGUUCUUAUUUACUAUAAUAAGGUUUUGGAUUGUUUAAGUUUAAACUUUUAAGUUUUUUGCUCUGAUUACCUAGUUAGAGUCGAAAUCUUUUAUUAUACUAUUUGUAGACGCCUAGUGUAUACUUGAGUUGUGGUGUACACGGCGAGUCUGUGCACGCGACUGGUGAGCUUCCGCUGAAAUCCAGGGCGUGACAUAGGAUCUUUCACUUUCCUUUUUCACAUGGUUCUAUAUCACUACAAUGAUCUUAAGCAGAUAAUUGUUAUAACCAACACAUGUUGUUCAUUACCCUACGUGCAAGAAUGCUAUAAUACCAAUAUGCUUAAAUGAAAGGACAUAGACAUAGAAAGAGAUCCGGUGUUUCCGGAUAGCACCCCCCACCUUUAUAUGUCACAAGGAUGCCGUGGUUCAGAUUUCACGAUUUUUAGACUUGUUCGCCGCUAGCUACGACGAUCUGUACUAUUUCUGCCUCUUUUUCCAAUAUCUUCGCGCAGGCUCGUCGUAUCGCCGAACCGAGCGCACCGAUGCGUUCGUAGACCUACCAAUUAGGAUAAAAUGAGAUCAAAUCCAAGUUUGAACCUCAAAAUUACAAAAUCCUAAUUAUAGGUCCUUGUAAAAAGUCAUCUUUCCCAACCUAGGUCCCUACUCAUGAGAAACUUGGAGAAAAUACUCUAAUCCAUCUCCUAGAAGUAUACUAGAAGGAAAAACUCAAACCCUAGCUCAAAUCCAUGAGAACUCACCUUUGGAGUCCAAAGCUUCCCUUCAAAAGCCUUGCUCUUCACCUUGGAAGGCUUCUUCUCCAAGCUUUUCUCCUCCAAAUCCCCUCUUGGUCCAAGCCCUAGAGAGAGAGAGAGAGAGAGGAGAGGUUUUUAGAGAGAGAGAGGGAAAGGUUUGUGUUGAGGUGUGAGGAAAUAAGAGCUAACCCUAACCCUUAGCUCUAUACAACCAUCUCAUGCAACAUUUGCACUUAAACCCCUCUCAAUUUCAUAUUUGCAACUAGACCUUACUGGGCAUUUUCGGGCUCGGGGACUAGUCUCUCCCCUUCAGGGACCGGUUCCCGAGAGCUGUCCUGCAACCUGCGCAGAAGGGGACCGGUCUCUCCCCGAUGAAACCGGUCUUCGGGAACCGGUCUGUCACCUAGGGACCGGUUCCCGAGAGCUCAAUUUCCAGGACUUAGCCGAUUUUUCUCUCUGCUUGACUGAUCAACGUUCGGGAACCGGUCUCUCAUCCAAGGGACCGGUCCCCGAGAGUAAAAAUUCUAGAAAUUUUCCAGAACUACAGUUUCACUCUCUCGGGUCCCUUUAUACUUCAUACAUAGGCUCCAAUGCACUUUUAGCCUAUAGUAACUCAUUCCUUUCCGCGUUCCACUCAUUUUGACAGAACUCGGCUCAACCUACGGGGAAGUGAUAUGUUACAGUAUAUCUAACUAUUACAACCAUUCAACUUUACAUCAUUUGAUUACAUUACAUUUUCAUCUUCCAAAAUACAUCAUGGCUUUCCAAUAUCUAUCCAAAAUACACAUGGUAUCUAGUACACGAGGGUACUCUAAUGCAUAAUGGAAAGCUACUAACUAACUCACUUAGGGCGCUAUGCCCUUGCCGCGAUCCUCGCUCGGCUUGCCUCUGUGUGUUCCUGUACCCGAAAAUCACACGGGGUGAGAACUAUACGAAUAUAGUUCCUAGUGGGUUCGGCCGCCGACGCCACCGGUUUUCCCACUAGAUCUAAGCUGGCACAGAUAGAGAGAUAGAUAGAUAUAUAGAAAAUGAACUGCAACUACUCUAUCAUGCCAUCAAUGAUAAUAAUGCAUGCAACAACUACUAUCAUGCUAGUAUCAUGUCAAGAGUAUAUAAAGAUGCAUAGCAAUGUAAUCUACAACAUACACUAUGUCUACUCAAGGUAAUAAUGCAAGUCUACUAUGCAUUUCUUGUUUAUUACCCAAUCUACUUGGUUGACCCGUAGGUUAACCCUCGACUCACUCUCAAUCUCAUAGGUGAGGAGAAGCUGCAGUCGCACACCGAGACCGUCUGCGGGACAACUACGUCUGCCCCUAGUGAAGUACUCCGGAGACUCAUGCCUCGGUGGAGCGACCACCGACAAGCAAAACAGACUAGUGAGUAUGAUCCAAUCCUCACAAGAGGAUACCCUGUCUACUAGGGUCAAUGUGCCUCUGCUGCACAGUCAUGAUAUAUAAUCAAGGUUGGGACCUCUACUAUCCCUAGGUUCAUGUCAAGUUUACUACACUAGACUCGAUGCCACUCAUUCAGUCAUUGUAGUAAAUGUCUCGAUUAUUCUACAUGCCACUCGUUCAUGUCAUAGUGCUUCUACCACACUAGUUCAAUGCCGCUCUACUAGGCUAAGUCCAAGUUCGGCUCUUUAUGCCAUUAUAGGAUUCUCAUGUCACAAGACCCAAUCCUCAUGCUACCCUAGUCUAGGUGUUCAACUCAUAGGUUACACUAGUAAGAAGCAUGCAAGGAAAGGAAAUAAACAUUUAUUAAUCCUAUAAUGCAAUAUGAUCAACAUGUAUAUAACUUAGACAUAAAGAGAAACCCCGAUGUUUCGGAGCGACACCCCCCACCUUUUGUGUAUACGGAGGCUCUAGAAAUGCGCUUCGGCGUUCUUUACGAUGAAGCCUUGGUUUUCUUGGUCCAAAUGAUGCUCAACAGGCCUUAUUUUGCCGAUAGCUCUUGACCCGCUUGACGAAUCGUAAUUCCGACUUUGCCCCCCCGUUUCGUUACCUAGCAAUUAGAUUUUUAUGGUCUCAAAUAAGAUCAAUCCUCUACUUUUCCAAAAACCCCAUUUUUGGUGCCCUAGGGUUAGCAUCAAGCUAAACCCAUCUCAAAAUCCUAGAUUCUAGCUCCAAUCUUACCAUUCAUGGUACUAGGGAUCCAUUUGAUCCCAUCCAAAGAGCUAAAACCCAAAAAACCCUAAAUUUCACAAGCUAGGGUUAGAAGCUUACCUCUAGGUUAGCUCAAAAGAGAGAAGAGAGGAAGAGGGAGAGGUCCAAAGCCUUCCUUUUCUUGAUCUCCUUCUUCUUCUCCUUCAUUUUCUUCAUUCUUUUCCUUCUCUUUUCUUCUUCUUCUUCUUUUUCUUCUUCUCUUCUAGAGAAUGAGAGCAAGAGAGUGUGAGUGAGGGAGAGAGGGAAAUGAGGGGCUGAGGGAGAGAGAGGGACCACAAGCCCUCAUAUUGUAACAAUAUCCAACUGGCCCCCUCAACUUUUCACUCUGUGCAUUGCCCUUACUGGGCGUUCUGCGCGCGGAGGGACCGGUCUCCCCGACUUGGGACCGGUCCCCAAGAGCUUCAGCUCGGGUCACGCGUUCGGGUACCGGUCUCUUCCAGAGAGACCGGUCCUCGGAAGACCGGUUCCUUCCUGAGAGACCGAUUCCUGAGAGCUGUGAUUUCAGGACUUAGCCAAUUUUCUGGCUUUCUUGCUGGGUUCACGUUCGGGGACUGGUCCCUCCCUGCCAGGGACCGGUCGCCUCAAGCAACCCCGCAACACCAGCCGAUGGGACCGGUCCCUCCCUGCCAGGGACCGGUCCCCGAGAGCAGUUUUGCUCCAGUGCAGGUUUUGCACUAUUUGCCCUUGUGGACUCGUUUUCAAUGCACUUUUGGUGAUUUUGACAUUUUUGGCUUUUUCCAAAGUACACCAACACGACCCUUGGUCGAUUCGGGAUGAAGUCUAAUCCUCGUAUUUCGAGAAUUCACUUCCUCACACACAAUGACAUUCAACCUUAGAGCUAAGGGUCAUUUGUGCAUAUUUUCUUAGGGUUAAGGAACAGAUUGAACUGAAUAUCCUUAGAGUUAAGGAUUGAUCAUACUCGCUAUAAGUCCUUGCUCGAGGGCGGUCGCUCCCCCUCGGGCGAUGCGCUCCGGAGUUUGUCAUCACUGAGUUGAGUUACUCAGAGGACGGUUGUCACGCCCCGCGACCGCCCACCUAUUUGGCCGGGUCGCGACGCCGCCGACAGAUCGCCGAACGGACAGGGUUUUCCCUGUACUGCGGACAGAGUCUCCCCUGUACGUUCAAGGCAUAGCAAUCAAUACAAUGUGCGAAGUUCCAACCAGGAACACAUUUCAAUCAAGGAUUGCAUAAUGGAAGGUAUCAAACAACAUAAACACAUCCUAUAUUAUUACAUUCAUUCAUAUUCAUACAUUUUUACAUCCCAAAUACUUAUUACAUUUAACUUCCAAAUACAAUCCGAUUUAAUAUAAUUAUUACAACUUGAUUCUUUCAUUCUUUACAUCCCUAAGUAAGGCCGACUUAGGGUACCACUAUCUCUGGUCUCGGUGGUAGGGCGCUAACUAUGGAGCUACGCCCUCGCCUCGCGCCGCCGCGCCGCUCACGUGCGAACCUGUAAAAACCCCAAAACCACGUGGGGUGAGAACCAACUCCAUGGUUCCCAGUGGGUACGGCCACCCAAGGGAAAAGCUCGACCAAUAGGUCCAAGGGAGGCAACUGCAAGUUAGUUCAAUAAACAGAUAGAUAUAUAUCUUUAUUAUGCAACUAAUAAAACCAUGCAUUGCCUCACGAAUGCAAUAAUGCAAUGCUAUAUGCAAAUCAUGCAAUAAUGCAACUAUGCAACCAACUAGUAGUUCAUUCGACACUACUUUCAAUUCUGCUAACCAUAGCUCAUCCAUUCGAUAUCUAAGGUUUCCUCUAUCUUAGAUUCUUGUCAAUCACCGUUUUAAUCAUAAAGUUUCAUCUACCUUUACAAGGCUAACCACCCGACUCGGUCUUGAGUCAAUCGUCUGCGGAGUACCGCACUAGAACCAGGCUCGAGGCGAUGGACGUCUCACAUACACCUCAGCCCUAGAUCCUCUCGACUAGGAUACCAAAUCCAUAACUCAUAAUGCAUACUUGUUGUACACUCAUUUGGCUAUGACCCAAUCUUACCGGUUAACCAUGUUAACCCCAAUAACUCACAACCAAAUCCCUUAAUAACGGGGGACUCGAACCUCCCUAGGGACCGUCAACUGGUGGGACUUUACCACGCCCAGUGGUGACCAACUCCGGAGCGCACCGCCCGAGGGGGAGCUACCUCCCUCAAGCCAAGACUUAUCGUGAGUAUCGAUCCAAUCCUCAACUUGAGGAUUCAUAGCCACUCGUCACAAUGCCAAUGUCAUGAUAGGUCUCUACCUAUUUAAUCAUGCCACUCUCUAUGUCAACUUGGACCAAUGUCAAUAUGGUUAAACUAUGUUUAACAAUCACUUUCUUGAUGCCAAUCAUGUCUCUAUUGUCAUUGUCACCCUUGUUUACUAAUGUUCAAGUCCAACUCUCACAUUUACACAAUAAUAGGGUCCUAACAUACAUGAAUGACACCAGAAUAUAUAUGAUCAAUCACCACAAGUGUUUGCUAGGUUCAAGAUGCUAGGUUUAAUGCCACUCGAUCUAAUAUAUAUAUAGAUUGUCCACUAUGUUCCACAACAUGGCAAUAUGUCAUCAAGUAUGUUUUUCUAUUUAACAUAAUCCACAAUAUGUAAAUUCAUAAUAUAUCAUCAUGCACAUAUACCACUAGCAUCACAUGAUUUGUCAACAUACAUAUAGUCAUUAUCCAAAAUAGUCCAUACUUAGCAUCUCAUGCAUUCUUUUAGCACUUAAUUCAUUAUGCAUUACAUUUAGCAUAUUCUACAACAUGUCAUCAUACAUUCCUUUUAUGAUGUUCUUAUAAUGCUAACAUUCAUACGCCCUUUAUAUUAUGCAUUCAAAGCAUUAAUCAUAUGCAUUUAUCUAGCAUUUCUAUAGUAUGUUAACAUGCAUUCUUUUCACAUUCUUAUAUUAUGUCAAUAUGCAUCAAUAUGAAAUCUCAUUUCUUAGACAUAAAGGGCGACCUAGUCGCUUCGGUAAGCACAACCCACCUCAUUUCGCAUUCCGAUUGCUUGUCGACACUUGCAAUCGGCCUCCCGCGGCACCCGGCACCCGGUUUGGCCCGAUCUCUCACGCGACCACCCGAACGGCCUCCAAUUCACGAUCCGAAAAUUAAAGGUCUUCGGUUAUGUGCCACGAUGCUUCAAAUCCAUUUUCAUGAAUUUACGAUAUCGCCUCGGCCCUCCCGGCGGACCCGAAGCCUAAACGUCCAUUUCUUUAAUAACUUUGUAACGGCUCGUCGGAUUGCCGAACCGUCUUCGCCAACGCGUUCGUUUACCUAGCAAUUUGGUUUACGGAGGGUCAAAUGAGAUCAAACCCUCAUAUUUUAAAAAACCCCAUUUUCUAAGCCUAAUAUGAAUUAAUCUCCAAAUAAUCCAAAUUAAAUAGAGCAAACAUGUUUAGAAUGCUCAUUAGAGGCUAUUAGAACACUUAAAACUAAGGAUUAAGCCAAAUCCUAAAAGCUUACCUCAAUGUGAACGCCGCGACGACAACACACCGCUCCAACGGGCGCACGAAAGCUCAAUCCGUCGCCUCCAACGCGUUCGCAAGCAUAUUCUCCACCAACCCCGCGAAUUUGAGCGAGAGAUAUAGAGAAAUGAGAGAGAUCUCUAGAGAGAGAAAGGAGAGUUUCUCUCCUCUCUCCAUGUGUGCGUGAGGUGUGUGUGGGUGUGCACGGCUGAAGGAGGAAGAAGAAGCAUCAUGCUUCUAUUUAAUUACACCCCAACACUAUUCACCUCCAGGCAGCUUAAAAUCUGAUAACUUUCGCCGGAGCUCCCUGAAUGUCCGUUUGAGCUCAAACUUGACAGUCAUGUUCGGUUUUACUUAACUUAACAAGCUGACGAUCACUGGUUCAGUUUCGACCCCGUUUGGUCACUGAAAACUGUACCGAACUGCAAUCUUUAUCAGAUAGCUUUCGGAUUUUAUUUCUCACUCUAUGGGUGUCAGAAAAAUAUGAAACCUUAAAUCUAGCCUCAUAAAAAUAUUUCUGACAUCUCCGCCAAUUUUCAUAAUUUUCUGAGACUGUGCAUUUUCUGCUUAUUUUUCUGUCCCGUCUCCAACAGAAAAUUCUAGAUCUUCUGUUUUAAUUCCGAUUUCAGCACAAGUCACCUCUGACUUAUGUUUUACCUCUAUAAAUCUAAUAAAAAUAGUUUCUCACACUAUUUUUAUUUAUUAUUAUUUUUAUACCAAAAUCUGGUAUAUUACAUUCUCCACCCCUUAAAAAGAAUUUCGUCCGCGAAAUUCAAAACACACCUCAAUUCAGCUCCUCGAGCAAUUGAGGGCACCAAUGCACUUUUUCACUUCGGAAUGGCUUUACACUCCUUGGAACUAUCCAAGAGAACUAUCACGGAGGGUACAAUACCAAACUCAUACAACUUUGUAAGGUGCAUCCCACAAAGUGCAUUACGGUAUCCACCAUUCUUGGUGGAAGCGCAAGUCGAAAUUCAACGACUACACACGCUCCAACCCCACUUGUCAUUUGGCAUGCAAGAACUCUUCUUUGCAUGUACUCUCCCUUCAGGGAAUACAUUCCGAUUCUAUCUCCAACAGUGCUUAAAAGCAACAUCACUGAUGCAUCGCUUCCGCGCGAGUGCUCUAAUUCCGCACUGAUCUUUAGCUCUAACAUGAGAUGGCCCACCUCGGCGCCUCCCAAUUCCAAUCCUCAAAUUCCACGUGGCUUGCUACUAGCUCAAGGUCUCACAAGGAGCACUUCAUCUUCUAAUACCAUAUGCCACGGUCAACAUUGAACUAAUUUCGCAACGAGCUCACACGAACGCUUCAUUCGUGGAUUCGAGUUAGACUCCUCGAUAAGGCUAUCCGCCAAACCGCUCUCUUCGGUCUCCACAGGUGGACCAAAGGCCACCAAUCCUACGUAGGCCUACCGCCUAACCUUUCUCAAUACGCAGCGUCUCUCGCUCGCAAUGCAGACCCAAUCAUCAUUGGGGCGAAAUUCUCACUUGGGAAUUCGCACACACUCCAACCAGGAGCAACUAAGAUCCCAAACCGUUACAGAUUCCCGGGUUGGGUCACACUCGCACUCUCAGUAUACUAUCAAUCGCACUACAUGCUCUAUAGCACAAUACGUACCACUAUCGGCUCCUAUGCACCUAGUGCGAGCCACCAGCCCCACGAGUGAUCCGUGGCACGCUUCACACCUAGCAAUGCUCAGGUGCUACUGCCAACACACUCAUCCGGCUAAACUAAAUCCGCACUCCACGAGUAACUAUACUCGUGUAUCGCACGCCUCUAAAGCGCUCCACACUAUGUCCAGCAUUAGGCAACUCUUGCCUAUGCACACCGGCCACACGAGCAUGGCUCACCUACCUCGAUUCGAGGUACUACUAGGCAAAAGCGCCAGUAGUUGGCAACAAACCGUUCCAUCGGAGCAACAUCCGGAAUACUCGAACCAUUCGAGUGUCCACAAGUGUCACGUCACAACUCUCGCAAUCAGCUAUACAUUGCUCUGCGAGUUAGUCCGUCACUCCCAUCUCUACUGUGAAUCUCAUCAUUAGACCAUCACUAGCAACUCGCUAGUGCCAUCCAGUUCUCUACCUGCACCGGCAGGUGCAACGCUUUCACCACAUAAGCGUGCCCGGGUAUUUACAUUUAUCCGCUCACUUGGACCCUACUAUGCUACUACAUAAAUAGUAGUAAUUAAUUACAUGCUCAAUGCAUGCAAUGCACCAACUUUACAUUAUGCAGAAACACAUAACUGCAUUAAUGGCUCAUACCUGCCAUGACGUUGUCAGCAGCAGGUUCCAUAUCCCGGACAUAGUUCACGAUAGGGAGAAUUCCCGUUCGUACUCUCUAACUGAGCGGUCUCCUUGCCGCAGCUUCCUGAACUUGUCCUGAAGCUUUCUCUUUUCACUGUCGGGGGAAGUAAGUAGAAGAUACCAAUCCCCAAAACUCAUCCCAUGCCAUGGAGGAAUACUAGGCGAUCGGUUCCGCCGAAUGCCUUUCCACCACGCCUUAGCCGACUGUUUCAAACAAUACACGGCUAGGGGUACCCUGUCCCGCUCCAAGGUAGACAGCUCCUCGAAGAGCGUUUCCACGGAGUCAAUCCACGUAUCCACAAUCCACGAAUCGACAUUCUCUCCAUCGAAGAUAGGUGGAUCAAACUUUAUGAAGGUCAUGAGGGCUGCCAAAGCCCGCUCUUUCUCCUUCUUUUCCUUUCCUUUCUUCCUCCUCUUCUUGUCUUCUAGAGAGAGAAAGAGAGAUAUGAGAGGGUGUGUGGGUGAGAAAUGAGAGAAAAGAGCUCUCAUACUCCUCACAUAGCCCCACAUGUUGCAUAAGUGCAAACAAGCCUCUCAACUUUUACUCUUUUACACUGCCCUGACUGGGCCAUUUUCAGGUUCGGGGACCGGUCUCCCCGACGAGGGACCGGUCUCCGAGAGCUCUCCCCGCGGUCAGCAGGGCUCACGCACGAUGCAUCCGGUCUCCCCCGAUGGGACCGGUCUCUUCGGGACCGGUCUCUCCCUGCAGGGACCGGUUCCCGAGAGCUGUCCACCGGGGACUUAGCCGAUUUUUCCUCCCUUUCGCUGUCUGCGCGUGCGGGGACCGGUCUCUCCCACCAGGGACCGGUCCCCGAGAGCAGAAAACCUGCAGUUUGCAGAUUUUGAUUCCCAAAGCUCUCGAAGAUCCCCAGCAACGCACUUUUGCAUUAUUUGACGCCUUCGGCCUUUCCGAAGUGUACCAACCUCGCUCUUUGGUCAAUUUGACCAAGGUUCGAUGUUCGCUUACCGAAGUUUCGGUAUAUUACACCUACAAUUUUUUUUCGGAGUCUCUUAAUUCGCUCCUCCUGGUGUAUAGCAGCCUCCUGCUGCCGCUGCACCACAUCUGCUCGUUGCCUCACCACACCCACAAGUGUGGCCAACCGUUCGCGAAGUUCCAAAUCUCCGCUCGCCUUGGAUUGCUCUGGGACAUCACUUGUCCCACCCCGCGUCGAUCUAAACGAAGAUCGCCUACGCGGUGCCAUCGUUACCUAGAACAUAACAACUCAACUAACUCUCAACCUUCUAGGUCGAGUACGAGACAACUGACAUCAACUCAAAUCGGGCGAAAGUCAUACAAGGGCAUCUAUUCUCAUCACUCGGUUUCAUGUUGUACGCGUCCAACAUGAACACUCUCGGUUGAGAAUAGACAACACCUUGGAUCUACCUCUAAUCUCCUUUUUAGAGGUUUACAACACAACCCAAUCCCUUAACCUUUCGCCAAAAGUCACAAGUCCUCGUCUCUCACGAGCCUUAAUCUCCUAUGGUUUACUAUCCUAGGGUCUCCUAGGUUCAUCUAAACCACUUUCCCAUUCUCUACUUUAUGCUCUGAUACCAUCUUACCUGUCACGCCCCGAGCCCGCCUCUUUGGUCGGAUUCGGGCACGCCAACAGACCGCCGAACGGACAGGGUUUCCCCUGCACGCGGACAGAGUCUCCCCUGUACGUUCAAGGCGUCGCAAUCAAUACAAUUACAAGAGGUUCCAAACAGGAACAAUUUUCAACAACGAUUGCAUAAGGAAGGUAUCAAACAACAUAACACAUCCUAUGUUAUUACAAUCAUUCAUCUCAUCAUUUUACAUCGCAUUUUUCAUUACAUUGAUUCUCAACUUCCAAAUAUACAAUCGAUUUCUAAACAUAAUAUUACAACAUCGAUUCUUUUCUUUUCUUUUCUUAUACCCCUAAGAAGCCGACUCAGGGUGCUGCUAUCUGGUCUCUGUGGUAGGGCGCUAACUACGGAGCUACGCCCUUUCCUCGCGCCGCCGCGCCGCUCGCGUGUGAACCUGUACCCCCAAAAACAACAACACGGGGGUGAGACUAUUGUCCAUAGUCGUCAGUGGGUACAGCCACCCAAGUGAAAAGCUCAACCCACCAGGUCCAAAGGAGGCACUGCAACAUGUUAGUCCAACAGAUAUAUAUAUAUAUAACAUCAUGCAAUACAUGUUCAUGCCUCACAAAUAUGCAAAUUAUGCAACUCUUAGUCAUUCUUUACCAUUAGCCUUUCUUUAGAAUAUGCAAUUCUUUAUCAUUAGCCAUUCUUUAUUCUUUAAUCUUUAUUCUUUAUUCUUUAUUCUUUAUGCUUUAUUCUUUAUGCUUUAUUCUUUGUUCUUUAUCCUUUACUAAGGGCACUCGCGCCUUAGGCUCAUCAUACACAUUUGCCAUUCUUUAUAACAUUAACAAGUCUUUCUCAAUUAUCACUCUUUCCUAAGGUUACAUUUACCUUAGCCAACUAUGCCACUCGACUCGGUCUUGAGUCAAUUCAUAAUGAAUACAAGAUCCACUUUCCAAUUCAUGAUUCCUUUUUGUUCUUUGUUCUUUAAUCUCACGGCUAACCCGGGGGUUUCGCCACAUUAACUUGCUUCACAUUAAGUCCAUCAUCGCAGGAACUCACCAGCUAGGACCGUCCUUACGGGUCUACUCCAACCCGGAUGCCAAACUCCGGAGCGCAUCGCCCGAGGGGGAGCGACCGCCCUCGAGCACGGAACUCAUAGCAAGUAUGAUCAAUCCUUAACUCUAAGGAUAUGUAGUUGGAUCAUGGUUUUACACUAACUCUAGUGUUCUUUACAUCACAUUAGUUGCUAACUCUAGCAAUCAUUAUUCUUUAUACCACAAUUAUCAAUUACUUUAGUAAUUAUCAUUCUUGAUACCACACUUGUUCUUUUAUUGCCACACACUAACUCUAGUGUUCUUUAUGUCACAUUGGUUGCUAACUUUAGCCAUUAUCAUUGUUCUUUACACUUUGCUUGUUCUUUAUGCCACAUUACUUUACAUCGCCUCUAGCCAUUAUCAUUAUUCUUUACAUCACAUUGCUUUGCCUUGUCUCAAGCCAUUAUCAUUAGGUUCUCACAUUACAUCUCAUGCAUACACAUAGAUUAUUUAGAUUCUUAAUCAUUCUAAUAAGCACGUGUACUCACAUCAUGCAACAUUACAUUAUUAUCAUCACAUUGUUUUACAUUAUCUUUAGCCAUUAUCAUUGUUCUUUACAUCACAUUUAUUCUUUGAUGUCCCACACUAACUCUAGUGUCCACUUUACCAUUUCGAAUGCCACUCGAUCUAUGUUCAACAUGCAUAUAUUUUGUCAUCCAUUGGUAGUCAUUACUUAGCAUUUUAUGCAUUCGUUAACAUUUACUACAUGCAUUCUCGGUUAGUACAAAUCUCAUACUUUCAUUUGACAUCUAUUUAGCAUUUCUAUAAUAUGCACAUAUAAAUUAACAUCAACUCAUGCAUUCAUUUGGCAUCUAUCUUUAUCAUGCAUUCUUAAUUAGCAUACUUUAUCAUGCAUUCUCAAAUAGCAUACUUUAAUCUUUAUCAUGCAUUCUUAAAUAGCAUACUUUAUCAUGCGUCAAUAGUAAACAUACUACACUUUAGCAUGGAAAGCGACCUAAUCGCUUCGGUGAGCACAACCCACCUCAUUUCGCAUUCCGAUUGCUUGUCGACACUUGCAAUCGGCCUCCCGCGGCACCCGUAACCCGGUUUGGCCCGAUCUCUCACGCGACCACCCGAACGGCCUCCAAUUCACGAUCCGAAAAUUAAAGGUCUUCGGUUAUGUGCCACGAAGCUUCAAAUCCAUUUUCAUGAAUUUACGAUAUCGCCUCGGCCCUCCCGGCGGACCCGAAGCCUAAACGUCCGUUUCUUUAAUAACUUCGCAACGGCUCGUCGGAUUGCCGAACCGUCUUCGCCAACGCGUUCGUUUACCUAGCAAUUAGGUUUAUAUAGGGUCAAUUUAGAUCAAACCCUUACAUUUUACAAAACCCCAUUCGGAGCCCUAAUAUGCUAUUAACCUCAAAAUAAUCCAAAAUUAAAUGGAUCAACAUGCUAACAAAGCUCAUUAGAGGCUAUUAGAAUACUUAAAGCUAAGGAUUAAGCCAAAUCCUAAAAGCUUACCUCAAUGUGAACGCCGCGACGACAACACACCGCUCCAACGGGCGCACGAAAGCUCAAUCCGUCGCCUCCAACGCGUUCGCAAGCAUAUUCUCCACCAACCCCGCGAAUUUGAGCGAGAGAUAUAGAGAAAUGAGAGAGAUCUCUAGAGAGAGAAAGGAGAGUUUCUCUCCUCUCUCCAUGUGUGCGUGAGGUGUGUGUGGGUGUGCACGGCUGAAGGAGGAAGAAGAAGCAUCAUGCUUCUAUUUAAUUACACCCCAACACUAUUCACCUCCAGGCAGCUUAAAAUCUGAUAACUUUCGCCGGAGCUCCCUGAAUCUCCGUUUGAGCUCAAACUUGACAGUCAUGUUCGGUUUUACUUAACUUAACAAGCUGACGAUCACUGGUUCAGUUUCGACCCCGUUUGGUCACUGAAAACUGUACCGAACUGCAAUCUUUAUCAGAUAGCUUUCGGAUUUUAUUUCUCACUCUAUGGGUGUCAGAAAAAUAUGAAACCUUAAAUCUAGCCUCAUAAAAAUAUUUCUGACAUCUCCGCCAAUUUUCAUAAUUUUCUGAGACUGUGCAUUUUCUUCUAAUUUAUCUGUCCCAUUUCCAACAGAAAAUUCUAGAUCUUCUGUUUUCAAUCCGAUUUCAGCACAAGUCACUUCUGACUUAUGUUUUACUCCUACAAAUCCAAUAAAAAUAGUUUCUCACACUAUUUUUAUUUAUUUUUAUUUUUAUAUCAAAAUCUGGUAUGUUACAACGGUCCUAGCAGGAGGAAGCUGAGGGCCGGCGAUCAUGGAUUUGAGUUGUGAGUUAAUGAGGCGAUACCCCCGGGUUAGCCUUGAGAUUGAACAAAGAACAAAGAACAAAGAACCUCGACCAUGCAUUCUUCAUUAAUUUAUAUUGAGCAUCUUAUUGAUAGCAUUGUUCAGGCAUAUUAGCUGCAUUUGUAUAGUUAGCUACUUAUCUGCUUAUUCUUUCUAUUAUGCCUGAGUUAGACCUAGUGGGAAAGUCGGUAAGAUUGGGGCCGAACCCACUGGGAACUUUGUGGUAGUUCUCACCCCACUAUUUCCACAGAGCCGUGACCGAGCGAGCCGGCGAGCGAUCGCGGUAAAGGUAUCGCACCUUAGUCAGAGGCCACCAGAGUUGGGUUUACAUUUUGUAGUAGCAUUCCCUUACUUCAUCUUUUGUACUUGAAGAUGUUUAAAGUAAAGAAAAAGAAUGUAAAGUUUUAUUUUGAGGCAAUGUGAUGUAAAAAGAAAUUAUGCAAGCAAUAUAAAGAAUCAUGAAUUUACAAGUUGGAUGAAAUGGAUACAUGUAUGUGAUCAAAAGAGAAUCAUAGUACUUGAGUAGAUGUUUAGUUUCUCUUCUUUCACUCAUGGCUACUGCUUACCCUCAUGUAAGCCGUUUGUGUAUGUUUCCGCUAGUGCUUUUCUCUACUUGAAAAUGUACAGGUGAUGAGCCUUGGGCGGGUAGGGAAAACUCUGUCCGUUCGGCGUCUGUUUGACGUGCUCGGGCCGGCCCAAAUUGGUAUCGGUCCCGGGACGUGACAAAAACUCUCUCUCUCUCUCUCUCAGCUCCAGCUCUCUCUCUCCCCCUCCUAGGGUGGAAUCAAAAGGAGGGAUUUGUGGAGAAGGAAGCUUGGAAGUGAAGCAUCAUCUUCUUCUUCUUCCUUGGCUCAAGAGAGGAAAGUUUGUGAGGUAAGUUUUUAGAGCUUUAAUGGUGGAUUUCUAGGGUUUGAUUUUUAUACUCUAGAAUUAGUUUUGGAUGAACCCUUAUGCUACGUUUGGUUGAGGGAUAAGGGUAGAAUAAAGGGUUUAUUCCACCCUUAUCCCCCAAACACAAAUAAAAAAUGGUGGGAACACUAAUUCCCUCCUUAACAGGCUAUUCUAGAAUAGCCCGUUAAGGGGUGGGAACUAGUGUUCUCACCCCAAGGUGGAACAAGUUGGGAUAACCCAGCUUGUUCCACCCGUGAAGAGAGAGAGAGAGAGAGUGUGUGUGUGAGUGUGAGUGAGUGAGAGAAAUUUUAAUUUAUUAUAAAAUUUAAAUUUCGUAAGUUUGUAAAUUAAAAUUUAUAAUUUUAAAAUUAUAAAAUUUAAAAUUCAAAAUUUAAAUUGUUUAAUUUUAAAUUUUAAAUUUUGAUAUUUUAAAUUUUUUUAUUUAGAAUUUGAUAUUUUGUAUUUUUAAAUUAAAAUUUCAUCUUAAAUUUAAAGUUUAAAAUUUAAAAUUUUAAUUUUUUAAAAUUAUAAAUUUGAGAUUUUAAAAUUUUAAAAUUUAAUUUUGAUUUUUAAAAUUUAAAAGUUUAUAUUUUAAAUUUUAAAAUAUAAAUAUAAAAUAUAAAAAUUCAAAUUCUAAUAUAAAGAAAAGAAUAAUAUUGUUAUUUUUUAUUUAUAACUACCCACUUUAAUUCUUGUUACAUCUUACCUAACCAAACGCUAUUUUUCUUAUUUUCAGGAAUAACCCAAUUUUCAUCCAAACGCAAAAUUAAUCUCACCUCCGCUUAUACCUCAAUUUAUACCUAUCCCUGGAAUAUCCACUUUUUGCUUGUCCUCGAACCAAACAAUACCUUAGGUGCUAAGUAGAUGCUGAUUGCUUGAAUCCAAGGUUUAUACGGUGUAUUCUUGCAAUAGUAGCAUUCUAGGGUUCCAAAUGGGGUUUUGUACAAAAGAGAUCCAAGUUGGGAAUUGAUCUCUUUUAACCCUAAUUGGUAGGUAUUCUGAUGUGUUGGUGAACUCGGUUCGGCAAUCCAAUGAGUCUACACGGAGAUAUUGGAGAAAAGUCUGUUUUUGGCUCUAUUUUGCCGCAGCCGGGAGAAAUAGGCGUCUAAAAAUCACGAAACUUGAAUCGUAACUUCUCAGCACUCCUACGAGGUGGGUAGUGCUAUUCGAAAUCACUGAAUCUCCUUUUAUGUCUAAAUGUCACCUUUGAGCAUGUAUGUAUAUGUAGGAUUCAUGCAUUGUAGGGUUUAAAUGGUUAAUUGGCAAUAUAAUGAUAUAGCUUGCAUGCUUUUGAGUAUAAAGAUGCAUAUGAGUUGGUUAUGUGACAUGUAUAUGUGAUUGUGAACCCUAUAUAUGUAUGAAUUGAACUAUGAACCUAGUUGAGGUAAGUGGUGACAUUGUGGCUAGUGAAUGAGAGUGGACACUUAUGUGUAGUGACAUUAGUGGCAUUAGUAAAUAGUGAAUGAGAAUGGAACACUUAUGUAUAGCGGCAUUAGUGAACAAUGGCAUUCUAUUAGUGGACAUGGCAUCCUCAGAAUUGUGGAAUAAAUCAUACUCACCUGUAAGUCUUGGCUUGAGGGCGGUAGCUCCCUCUCGAGCGGUACACUCUAGAGUUGUCACCACUGGGUGUGGUUAAAGUCCCCCCAGAAGUCGGUCCCUCGGACGCGGUUAGAGUCCUCCCGAACGAUAGGGAUUUGGUUGGUAAGUCGUGGGGCGAAACCUCCUGGUUAGCCAAAGAGGAUUGGGUAUUGAGAAUUGCAAUCGACAUGCAUCCUGAGCAUCUUACAUCUGUUAGCAUUUGUUUCAGGCAUAAUAGCUGCAUUUGUUUAGAAUGGUUAUCUAUCUAUCUGUUUCUUCUAUCUAUGCCUGAUUUAGACCUAGUGGGAAGGCGGCAGGGUCGGCAGCCGAACCCACUGGAAACUUUGUUGUAGUUCUCACCCCACUAUUUCCACAAAGCCGGGGCCGAGUGAGCCGACCGAGGAUCGCGGUAAGGAUAUCGCGCCUUAGACAGAGACCUCCAGAGUAUAGUUCAUUCCUGUAUAUCACCUUUUGUUAUGAUGAAUAGAGUUGUAUAAAUGUGAUGUAUUUUUGGAUAAUCAUGUGAUAGAUGAUGUAUAGAGAAGAAAACAAGAGAAUGUAAAUAUUGUAUGCAUGUAUGUGAUCAAAGGUGUUCAUAAUACUUGUAUGGAUGUAAUAGAAUAGAACUUUCACUUUUAAUGUUGCUUCCCCUCGUGCAAACUAUUAUAUCAUUGUUUUCGCUGUGUAAAAAUAUAUAUAUGUUGUAAAUUGUUGAGCCUUAGGCGGACAGGAGGUGUUGUCCGUUCAGCGUCUGUCGGCGUGCCCGAACCGACCAAAUAGGCGGGCUCGGGGCGUGACAACUUCCAUGUCUAACAGUAAAAUAACUAUAUGAAGUUAUUUAUGGUUGCAUAUAGUGCAUGUAAAUCAAGGGUAUCUUAUUUCAUUAAUAAAUGGAUGCAUGUGUGUUAUUCUAGCAUAAUAUAUUAUGUGUCAUGAUUAUAUGGUUGAUUGCAUGAUGUUCUAGCAUAAUGUAUUUAUAACGCAUGAAUGAUUCUGUCACGCCCUGGGACCUAGCGGAAGCCCGCCCGGUGCGUGCCCAGACUCGCCAUAUGUUUAUAACAUACAAGGCGUCUAAAACAAAACGAUGAAUAAAGCAGUAGAACAAANCGUCUAAAAUAAAACGAUAAAUAAAGCAAGAUAAAGAGAACAUCUAGCAGUAUCAGAGCAAGUAUAUCUAGAUGCUACAAUAACCGAAAUGAACAUAAAGCUAAAUCCACUAAGUAAAAACAGGAAGUAGUACAAUAAACAUCCAAAGUACAAGUGCUAAACCGGAUACAUAGGAGGUCUCUCUAUACAAGGUACCAACAUAACUCUCUCUCACUCGACUACAACAAAAGGAGAGUGAACUACCAAAACGCAAAAGAAACGCUCCUUGCUAGCUAGCUAAGCGAUCCCCUUGCCGCGGUCCUGUGCCUCCAUCGGUGUAGAGGGCUCUGAAAUAAAACCAUAAAAACGGAGGCGUGAGAACUAUUAAAAAUAGUUUCCAGUGGGCAAUUACUGACUUCAGUGAAAUGCGCAACUAGGCCCAAAACUGAACAAAAGAGAGUAAGUACGAGAAUAAUCAAAAGGAAUAACAACAACUAAACAUAAGUACUUACUAAACCAUGAUGUCUCAACUCAGCAUGAACUUGCGUAAUUAAUAAAGCUACUAUAACAUGAAUGUACAUGAAUGUGACUAGCAUGUAUAAGCAUGAAUAUGCAACCAACGGAAUGUUCACAAUGUAGAUAGUAAAAUGUCAUUGUUUACUAUUCUAGUCAAAGUCCAAAUGGCAUGUUUUGUCACCAAGUUGCAAUCAUGUAAUACCCACCCGUAGGCUGUCUGGCCUGCGCCGUGCCUAAUGGUCCCGUGGCAGUCAACAUCCCCACUCUAGGAAUGAGCCUCCCCCACAGCAUACCAUUUCGGCUGUAAAGGAUUUUCUAGGUUGGCGAAUUUCGUGAAGUCGAAUGGAGUCUUGAAGAGUUGAUCGUGGAAGUUGGAAGAGAAGAUUCACUUUGAAGAAUCAAAGACUUGUUUGGAAAGCUAGACACCUCAGGUAUGAAUGUUAGAUUAUUUGUGGUGUGUUUAAACUAUCUAAAUAUAAGUUUAGAAGACUUGGAUUGCUAUAGAAAACUCAAACUAAGGUUUUCAAUGUGCUGGGACUGGUCCCCUGAGAUGAGAGACCGGUUCUCGAGAGUCCUCUUUGCGUGAUAGUUCAAGGCAACUGGUCUCCUGAUCUGAGAGACCGGUCUCCAGGGCGAGGCAACCGGUCUCUGAUCUGAGAGACCGGUUCCCAAACAUAGGAUUUUCUGUCACGCAGCGAGGGACCGGUCUCUGGCAUGAGAGACCGGUUCCCGAACGUUGUGUUUUCUGUCACGCAGCGAGGGACCGGUCUCUUACUCGAGGGACCGGUCUCCCAAAGACCAGUCUCCUCGAGAGGACCGGUCCCUGAGGACGACACCAGUUUUUAAAAAUAGACUUUUUGCAAUCCUAGUCUACUUCUAAGUCUUCUAAACAUAUAAAUAAGCCAUGGGGGUUAUCAUAUGGUUUAAGGCUUUGAAUUUCUACUGUUCUAAAACCCUAGAAACUUGUUUUCACAUUCUUAUGAUUUUAUUCAUAUAACAAGUUUCAUAUAAUCAACGAUCGACUUGAUUCUUCGAUUUUAACUCGAGAUAUUCUUCGAGAAUCAAGUAGAUGUUUGAUUAGAAGGUGAACCCUCAUUGCUUAUGGUGUUAUAAGUCUUAAUCACCACAAAUCAUCAAUUCUACAAACUCCGGAAGGAGGUUCGGCGCGUGGACUCGCGUGAAGCCGAGGAUUCGGUGGACGCUUUAAGGAGUUGAGGCGUUUGCGCAGUAAGGAGUUGCAGUGAGGUCGAUUAGAGGAUUCCUAUCGAUCGAGGACCGGCGAAGAUCAUCAACAACGGGAAUUCGGUAAAUUGAGUCAUGUAUUUUGGUUAAAUCACUUGUACUCAAGUUUUCUUAGUGGAUUUUCUUCGCGUGAUCGGUCCCGUGGGUUUUUCACUCCGGAUUGGAGUUUUUCCACAUUAAAAUCUCGGUCCUCUAGGUGUUAUUUACCUUUUAGAUCCUUGGGAUCCAUAUCUUACAAGUAGUAUCAGAGCGGGUAUAGGUUGUAAAUCAUAGCCGAGGGCGGUAACAUCAAUCGACCCCCUCUCUUCGAUGGCACUAAUUACGCUUAUUGGAAAGUCCGUAUGAGGGCGUUUCUUAUUGCCAUCGACGAGCGGGUAUGGCAAGCCAUUGAAUUCGGAUGGAAACAUCCCACCGAAGUUGUCGAGAAUGUUACCGGUCCGAAACCUAGAAAUAAGUGGACGAAAGAGGAAAACAAACUAUCUUCGUUCAACGAAAAGGGUAUCAAUGCUUUAUUUAAUGCUGUAAAUCAAACUGAAUUUUCUCGUGUCUCCGCGUGUGAAACCGCCAAAGAAAUUUGGGACACUUUACGAGUUACACACGAGGAUACAAGCUUGGUAAAGAUUCAAAAAUUACAAAUGCUUACAAGUAGAUUUGACUCUAUUCGUAUGGAAGAACAUGAAUCUUUUACCGAGUAUUAUACUCGUUUGCAAGACAUUGUAAACACGUGUGCUAACUUAGGCGAGAAGAUUUCGGACUCUAAAAUUGUUAGAAAAAUUUUGAGAACCCUUCCCGAACAAUUUCGUCCAAAGGUUGCGGCUAUUGAAACGGUAAAAUAUCCGAAUGAACUUAAGGUGGAAGAAUUAGUAGGUGCACUUCAAACGUAUGAGAUGACUUUUCUUUCUAAUUCGUCUUCUUCCAAGUCUUCUUCUAAAGCUACAGGGAUGGCUCUAAAAGUAACAAAAGGAGAUGACUCUACAACUUCAUCGGACUCGAAGUCGGAGCAAACCUUGGAGGAGUUUGAAAAGCAACUAGCGCUUCUAACGAAGAAGUUCCGUCGGAACUUUAGAAAGAAGUUUCCUCCUAAGUCCUCUUCCUCAAAGUCAAGUAAAUCUAAAGAGAGUUCUUCUUCAUCUUCCUAUUCUAAGAAUAAAAAGUCCGAAAGCUCUUCUAAAGAUUUUUCAAAAGAGAAGAAAACUAAUGAAGGUCAAAUCCAAUGCUAUAAGUGCAGAGGAUUCGGUCAUAUUGCAUCGGAUUGCCCUAAUAAAAAAUCCUUGAAAAAGAAAGCAAUGCAAGCCAUCACUUGGGAUGACUCGUCUUCGAGUGAGUCAUCUUCAAGUGAUGAGGAUGUUAACGCUACGGCACUUAUUGCACAUGACUCUUUUAUGUGUUUAGCAUCUACAAAUUCUAUCUCUUUGUCAUCUAUGCAUGAAAAAUCUACGUCAGAGAACUCAUCGGAUGAAGGAUCGGAUGAAGAUGAUAUGGUUGCCGCAUAUCAUCAAUUGGUUGUCGAGUUAAAGAAGACGGCCAAGCACAAUAAAAAAUUACGGCGAAGAUUGCUCGAAUUGGAGGAAGAGAACACGAAACUAGAGUCGCUAACCAAGAGUCUCGAGCAUGAAAAAGAUGGUUUGACUAAAUCCUAUGACUCUUUAUUUGAGAAGUGCACAUUGCUUGAAAAGGAAAAGGAGUCUUAUGUCGAAAAUAUCAAUUUCCUUACCAAGCAAUACACGGAAGCUAGAGAAGCAAAUAUAUGGAAUUCACCAAGACGAUUAUUCAACUGAAAUCGGAUUUAAAUCAAUUCUCGUCUGGCUCUAGCAAACUUGAUAAGAUGCUUAGACUUGGUCAAACAAAUAAACUUGGACUUGAAUACGAACGGACAUAUAUUGAUCAAGCAAUGAAGAAAGAUAACGAACAUUCUACAAAAGCGGUUCCUAAGCUUUAUGGUAAGUUUAUCCCUCUGAAAAACUCAUUUGCUAAUAAAAUUUGUCAUCUCUGUGGUGUUUUAGGUCAUGUGAAAAGGGUUUGCAAACAAAAGGCUAAAAGUCCCACUACACCCUUGGAUCGGAAGGCACAAUGAAAAUCAAAGAAGGAUGAUCCUAAAAACAAACAAACAUGGAAACCAAAGAAGGAAGAUCCGAAGACAAAUGCAAAGCAAACUUGAAAACGGAAGAAGGAUGAUCCCAAGAAGAAAAUUGCUCAAAUCGUCGAUGUCACGCCCCGGGACCGGCAGAGGCCCUCCCGGUAGCGUGCCCAGACCCGUCAUAUGUCAACACAUAUAAGGCGUCUAAACAACAGCGAAAAAAAAAAAUAAAGCCAAAGAUAAUCUACAUCUAGAGAUAUCAGAGCACAGAUAGAUCUAUCAUCUAUAACAAGGUAAAAGAAAAAAAAUACUAUAACAAUAAGAGUGAAACAUAUAGAUAUACAAUAUCUGUCCAGAAUAGUACACAAAAGGGUGGUCUCUAAUACACUGGUACAGCUCUCAACCUCUCCAAAAUAAAUACAUCGAAAGGUAGACCACCUACCAACUCGUCACUCGCUGAAGAGCUAGCUCGAAGCAACGUCCUUCCCACGGUCCCUAGCCUCUCCUGGCGUGGAAGGCUCUGAAAGAAAACAUAAAACAGAGGGCGUGAGAACUAUAAUUUAUAGUUCCCAGUGGGCAAUUACUGACCUCAGCUCAAUGCACCACUAGGCCCCAAAGAAGGGUAAGUCUAAAAAGAGAGCAAUAAUAAUGAAUAAAUUGCAUUUAUGAAAGCAUAAUUAAAAUGCGAAGAUACUACAUUGCAAUUAAACUUGGUGUUAAUAUGAUGCAUCUUUACUUGUCAUAAACUAUAUGUCCCUACAUGGCCACAAGUAAAUGUCACGGUUUACUUUAUGAAGUUAUGAAGAUCAUGCUUUAUCAUGGCAACAAUAUAUAUAUGAAUGCAAUAAGCAAUAUCUCCUAGCAUACUACAUGUAUGUAAGUAUACUCAAGUGUCCAAAACUAUGUUAGAAGCAAGUUCAAGUAAUCCAACUACUACUCUCUAUCUAGUAGUGAUUAUAACACACUCAACACCGUGUUGAUUUUCAUUUUCAAUUAAGAACCCACCCCAGCUUGUGCCGCCUAAGUGCCUGUGGUAGCCCAACAUUCCUGCUCUUGGAAUGUGUCUGUCCCACUCGACCCCGUAGGCUUCUCAAUACCGCACGAGCGAACAUAAGUCGCGUAGGCUAACUCCGGAGUGCUGGCUUGUAGGGAGCGACCCUCACAAGCAUGUGCGAAUGAGCACAAAUGGCAAGCAAGCGUAGUUAAAGGCUCAAGUAUCCAACCCUCAUGUCUCAAACAUGGCAAUAGCUACUAGUGGCCCAAUGGUCUAGCUCUAUGUCACAAUGUAAUAUCCCAACACUCACUUGCUUAGUGCCUCUUUAUGACACUUAAGCACCACAACUAAUCAAGCCCAAAUCAUGUUCUAUGUUCCCAUUUAAGACAUUAAUACCAAUGCUCACUAUGGUCGGAGCCCAAUGCCUCUUUAUGACAUUGGCCCAAAUUCUCAAAUAGUCUAAGUCCCCAAGCCUCUCUAGGCUUCCAAAGUCUCUAAUGUCACAAUUGGGCAUAAAGGUUAAAUGCACGAAAGCAAUGUUCAUUUUCAUAAGAGGAAUCAUGGUUCCAAGUCUCAACUAGAAUGCUAUGUCCCACAUGCAUGCACCCUAUCACAUAGAGGUCCAAAAAUUUACUAUAUAUAACAUAUGCAUGUUAAGCAUUCUAAAAUUCAUAAUAAAUAUAUCUAACAUGAUUAUGCAUGCUUUUUCAUUUAACGAUACUCAAAUCAUCACAAAUGAGAUUUUCUCAUUGUGUGGCUAGGUCAAACCCACCGAACCGUCGCGUAGUCCCUCGUUUCGCCGAACGGAGUUGUCCACGAGUCUCAAAAUACCCUAAAAAUAAUGAGCGAAGAGAUACACGGGCAUUACGAUUAACUAUAAGAUCAAACAUUAACCAUCAAGGCAAAAGGGCUAAAACUCACCUAAUGAGUAGAAAAUCUCUCUCAAGCUCCUAAAGAGAGCUAGAAUCCUUUCAAUCCAACCCAAAGGAAGAUUCUAACCCAAGUAAUCAAGCUCCAAAAGCGCUAAAUCCAAAAUGUCCAAAAUAAACCCUAAGUCUCCAUUCUAGGGUUUCAUCUCAAAUCCAACAACAAAACUCAAAUCUAGAGGGAGAGAAUGGGCUACCAACCUCUUAGAAGCUUCAAUCCAAGCUUAAAGUCCUCAAACUUCAAGGAUCUUCCCUCAACUUUGCUCCAAAUCCAAGCUCCAAGCUUCAACCAAGGUGAAGAAGCCUCUAAUCAAGCAAAAAGAGAGUUUAAUCUCAUUAAAACCCAACCAAAAUCAAGAAAAGGGAAUGGGAGAGUGUGGAGGGCUCCCUUACCCUUCUCCUUGCUGGUGCGAAGCAUAGGGAGAGCCCUAGGGGCGUGGGGAUACAUAUAGAAGGACACAAUUGCGAAAAACCCCCUGCAGUUCAAACUGCUCAGAUUCUGCCAAAGUGUACCGGUACACGGGAAAGUGUACCGGUACAAAUCCCACGAAAAUGCAAACCCGAGGCUCGAGUUUGAAAUUCGGCACAAGUGUACCGGUACAGCCAUUAAAAGUGCACUGGUACAAAAUGUGUACCGGUACAGCCAUCGACCUCUCACCGGUUACACCUCGUACAGAAUGCAAUCCGCGGGUAGGCUAAGUCCAACUCUUUAGUGAUCUUAGCGCUACAUAAAAUACUACAAUUCUCGGGAUUCGAACCAUAGGUCGGAACACUGUCAACGAUCCACCAGAAAAUCUGAAAAAGCUCAGGACACAGUCCAAACACUCGAACCUCGCAAUUUGCAAAGGUCCAGUGUGUUACAGUCGACAAACAACAUCUUUCUCAAUCAAGUCGGCCGACGCAACCCAAAACACGUAAGGUUUGGGUGCGCAAAGGUGAACUCUUUCCUUGUCUUGUGAUUCACAAUUCGCUUCAUGCUUACGACAACUCUUCUUGGUAUCUGGAUAGUGGUUGUUCACGUCAUAUGACCGGUGAUAAAAAUUGGUUUACUUCUUUAAAUAAUAUCUCCGGUAGACUUGUUGUUUUUGGAGAUGAUCGGUGUCACGCCCCGCCCCGAAACCACUACCGAUUUGGCACGAUUCGGGCGCGGCGAGCGGAGCGCCGAACGGACAGCACCUCCCCUGUCCGUCCAAGGCUCAAUCACAGGAAUGUGUACAAGAAUUUUUACCCAGGAAAUUAAAUUCUAAACAUGCACAUCCACAAGGGCACAACCAAUGCCAACAAUACAAAGAGCAAGCAAAUCCACAAGAUACACAUGUGAAAUAGAGAGAGUACUUUACUAACUAUUACAAUAGUUCCAUCAUUUUCAUUUACAUCAUUUUCUUUAAAUGAAUACAUUUCCAUUUCAAAAUACAUAGCUCUCCCUAAUCCUCACCUACAAUGAAUCUCUCUCAACACAUAGGUGAACUAAUACAAAAAGGAAAGCUACUAACUACCACGGUCUCACUGGUCGGGCGCGAUGCCCUUGCCGCGGUCCUCUCUCGGCAGCCCUGUACCUACCACUGGAAAUAGAGUGGGGUGAGAACUAUCUUCCAUAGUUCCCAGUGGGCUCGGCCGCCGACUCUGCCGAUCUCCCCACUAGGUCCAAGUGGGCACAAGCAACAACAGAUAGAUAGAUAGAUAGAUAUGUAUCUGAAAGCCGUAAAUGCAAUAGUAGGAAAACUAUGCUACUAUGCUCAUAAUCAUGAAUAUGAAUGCAUGCAUUAUAUAAUAAAGGUUGCUACCAUGCUAACAAAUUCGAUACAUGUUCGAAUAGUAAUGUUCAAUAACAUUUUUAAACCUUUACUCUUUCCAUUUACCCGAUCUGUGGCGAGGCCCUAAGGCUCACCUAUAACUCACCCUUCAAUCCCAAAGUGGGGAGGGAGCUCCAUGUGCACCCAAGCCCGGGACCGUCUGCGGACCUCCAUGUGGUCCGGACCUCCAAGUGGUCCUAGUCGCGCGACACUCCGGAGUACUCGACGACAAUCCCCUCCAUGUGGGGAUUGGAUGGCUAUACCAUCCCAAACGCAGACUGUGAGCUAGAUCUAUCCUCUCCAAGUGAGGAUGCCCUACAUCUAGGGUCAACAACUCAAUCAAGUCCUCUCCAAGUGAGGGAGCACUAUCACUAGGGUCCCCAACCCAAUCAAAUCCUCUCCAAGUGAGGAUGCCCUACCACUAGGGUCAAUGUCUCAAUCGACUCAUCAACAACCUCUCCAUGUGAGGCUACUUAGGUUUACUAAGUUCUUGUCCACAAGGCAUUUUCUAAGGGAUCCACCUAUCCCUAGGUUCUCAAACCUCUAGUGUCAUUUACACUACAUUAAUGCCACUCGUCAUCAUUUAACAUUUGGAUGCCACUCGUUUGUUCUUUAACAUUAACACUACUUUCUAUGUCAUCAACACCCCCAUCGGGUUCAUCUCUAUCUUUAGCAUCAUAGGAUCCACGUUCCGACCCAAUCCUCACCUAUCUAGUUACCAAGCGUUCCAAGUACACUAGGUUAUCAUUUAGAAAGCAUAAGGAAUGGAGCUACUAUGCAAUCCUACAAUGCAACAUGAAGAGAUGAGAUUAAAUGCAAUCUAAGACAUAGAAAGGAGUUCGAAAGCUUCGGGAUGGCACCCCCCACCUUUAAUCGAUGUAGAGGCUUCGGAAAUCCUUCUCGGCGAACUUUACGAAAAGGCUUUAGCCUUCCU